Molecule: non-coding RNA, 27 nt
Filed under: Mus musculus (house mouse)
Lineage: Eukaryota; Metazoa; Chordata; Mammalia; Rodentia; Muridae
Source: RNAcentral
UGAACCAAUGCAUUACUCUGAGGUGUU